RNAcentral lists this ribosomal RNA (449 nucleotides) under uncultured bacterium. RNAcentral's name for it is "partial 16S ribosomal RNA". It matches the Rfam family "Bacterial small subunit ribosomal RNA", at positions 29 to 523 of the family's 1533-position model. The record is from RNAcentral.
AGCGAACGCUGGCGGCAGGCUUAACACAUGCAAGUCGAACGCCAUCUUCGGAUGGAGUGGCAGACGGGUGAGUAACGCGUGGAAACAUACCUUUUGCUUCGGAAUAUUCCCGGGAAACUGGGAGCAAUACCGAAUACGCCCUGAGGGGGAAAGAUUUAUCGGCAAAAGAUUGGUCCGCGUUAGAUUAGGUAGUUGGUAGGGUAAUGGCCUACCAAGCCUACGAUCUAUAGCUGGUCUGGGAGGAUGAUCAGCCACAUUGGGACUGAGACACGGCCCAAACUCCUACGGGAGGCAGCAGUGGGGAAUAUUGGACAAUGGGUGAAAGCCUGAUCCAGCCAUGCCGCGUGAAUGAUGAAGGCCUUAGGGUUGUAAAAUUCUUUCACCGGGGACGAUAAUGACGGUACCCGGAGAAGUAGCCCCGGCUAACUUCGUGCCAGCAGCCGCGGUAA